CGCCUGGGGAGUACGGCCGCAAGGUUAGAACUCAAAUGAAUUGACGGGGGCCCGCACAAGCGGUGGAGCAUGUGGUUUAAUUCGACGCAACGCGAAGAACCUUACCUGGCCUUGACAUCCAGAGAGCUUUCCAGAGAUGGAUUGGUGCCUUCGGGAACUCUGAGACAGGUGCUGCAUGGCCGUCGUCAGCUCGUGUCGUGAGAUGUUGGGUUAAGUCCCGUAACGAGCGCAACCCCUAUCCCUGGUUGCUAGCAGGUAAUGCUGAGAACUCCAGGGAGACUGCCGGUGACAAACCGGAGGAAGGUGGGGAUGACGUCAGGUCAUCAUGGCCCUUACGGCCAGGGCUACACACGUGCUACAAUGGCGCGUACAGAGGGCUGCCAACUCGCGAGAGUGAGCCAAUCCCUUAAAACGCGUCGUAGUCCGGAUCGGAGUCUGCAACUCGACUCCGUGAAGUCGGAAUCGCUAGUAAUCGCGAAUCAGAAUGUCGCGGUGAAUACGUUCCCGGGCCUUGUACACACCGCCCGUCACACCAUGGGAGUGGAUUGCACCAGAAGUAGUUAGUCUAACCUUCGGGAGGACGAUUACCACGGUGUGGUUCAUGACUGGGGUGAAGUCGUAACAAGGUAACCGUA
RNAcentral lists this ribosomal RNA (635 nucleotides) under uncultured Marinobacter sp. Its description in RNAcentral is "bacterial SSU rRNA". It matches the Rfam family "Bacterial small subunit ribosomal RNA", at positions 870 to 1504 of the family's 1533-position model. The record is from RNAcentral. Lineage: Bacteria; Pseudomonadati; Pseudomonadota; Gammaproteobacteria; Pseudomonadales; Marinobacteraceae.